UACCGCCGGCUAGCCGUGUUCAUUCAACUUACAACUUGCAAAUUUGAGUUGAUUUUUCCGUCACUUUACAUAGUUUAAUGUAUCUGUCACAGCUUUUUUAAAUGCAAAUUCCACUGGAAACAAUGGGUCUUCUGGAGGAUACAAGCACUUGGGCUGGUCCCAACCACCUACACCCGGGAUGAGGAGAAGAGGUUUCAUACUCGACAAGCGAUGGCCUUUCCAUUUCUUUCACGAGCAGAAAUGAUACCGAGUUCCAAUGACUUGGGCAUCAGAGCAGCAGUCCCUUGAUCGAUGAGCUCUUUGAGACCACCUGAAUUGCAAGCUCUGUAUGGCCAGUUUUUGUGUGACAAAAUAAAAGAUAAGGGUUGAAAAUCCCUCCAGCUAAGUUAGGGAUCAUGUAAUUGCCAUGGAAACCAAAUAUAGUAAUGUAUAACAGGUUGUAUAUUCCUGAAAGUGCAAUUGUUGGAUAAAUGUUAAUUUAUAUUGGCACUAAUGUAAUUUUAAGAUUGUCCUUAUUUUUAGCUUUACAUAAACACCAAAAGCAGAGAAUAUUGUUCCCAGUUGGAAUUGUGUCAUAUUUAUUAUCAUAAUAGUAUUAUCAUAAUUGUGGUAAUGUAAUCCUAUUUGAAAUUUUGAACCAGUAUUUAUUUUGUGUGGGAUAUAAUAUGUUUUAUAUACACUGAAGUUCAAUAUGUGUUACUAUGUAAUUUUAGAUCUGAUCAAGUUUACCUUAAUGUUACUUAAUAAAACCCACUUAACUCCAAAGAAGUAUUUUGAAUAUUUGGUUCUUGCACUAUUUUGUAUCCCUUUUCUCGCUAAAUAUUUACCUUUUAUUGAGAGCUGUGUUGACGGGUUCCAUGACAUUUGCUCUGGCAAAUUCCACACCAUAAUCUUAUGAACAGCUUCAACCAGUAAGGUCUAAACCUAACUUAAAACCAUAUUGCAACCCUGAACCUCUAUCUUAAGGGGCUUUCACAAUUGCUCGUGCGAUUGUUUGCGAUCACUUGGUCACAAUAUAUGUUGCACAGAAUUGCAACGGUGAAGGGUCGUAAGUAGUCACGCAACCAAUUGUAAAAGGGGCUUUAGACAAAAUUAAGCCUGGGGCAAUUGUCGCAGGAGCAAAUGUUGUGUCACAUGGUAAUCAGAUGGAGAUGAUUGGAGAGAUGAAGAUGGGGGGGGGGGUGAAGAUGGUGAAAG
RNAcentral lists this long non-coding RNA (1197 nucleotides) under Lytechinus variegatus (green sea urchin). RNAcentral describes it as "uncharacterized LOC121414660". Lineage: Eukaryota; Metazoa; Echinodermata; Echinoidea; Temnopleuroida; Toxopneustidae. The record is from RNAcentral.